RNAcentral lists this ribosomal RNA (1369 nucleotides) under uncultured bacterium. RNAcentral's name for it is "bacterial SSU rRNA". It matches the Rfam family "Bacterial small subunit ribosomal RNA", at positions 28 to 1381 of the family's 1533-position model. The record is from RNAcentral.
GACGAACGCUGGCGGCGUGCCUAAUACAUGCAAGUAGAACGCUGAAGAGAGGAGCUUGCUCUUCUUGGAUGAGUUGCGAACGGGUGAGUAACGCGUAGGUAACCUGCCUUGUAGCGGGGGAUAACUAUUGGAAACGAUAGCUAAUACCGCAUAACAAUGGAUGACACAUGUCAUUUAUUUGAAAGGGGCAAUUGCUCCACUACAAGAUGGACCUGCGUUGUAUUAGCUAGUAGGUGAGGUAACGGCUCACCUAGGCGACGAUACAUAGCCGACCUGAGAGGGUGAUCGGCCACACUGGGACUGAGACACGGCCCAGACUCCUACGGGAGGCAGCAGUAGGGAAUCUUCGGCAAUGGGGGCAACCCUGACCGAGCAACGCCGCGUGAGUGAAGAAGGUUUUCGGAUCGUAAAGCUCUGUUGUAAGUCAAGAACGAGUGUGAGAGUGGAAAGUUCACACUGUGACGGUAGCUUACCAGAAAGGGACGGCUAACUACGUGCCAGCAGCCGCGGUAAUACGUAGGUCCCGAGCGUUGUCCGGAUUUAUUGGGCGUAAAGCGAGCGCAGGCGGUUUGAUAAGUCUGAAGUUAAAGGCUGUGGCUCAACCAUAGUUCGCUUUGGAAACUGUCAAACUUGAGUGCAGAAGGGGAGAGUGGAAUUCCAUGUGUAGCGGUGAAACGCGUAGAUAUAUGGAGGAACACCGGUGGCGAAAGCGGCUCUCUGGUCUGUAACUGACGCUGAGGCUCGAAAGCGUGGGGAGCGAACAGGAUUAGAUACCCUGGUAGUCCACGCCGUAAACGAUGAGUGCUAGGUGUUGGAUCCUUUCCGGGAUUCAGUGCCGCAGCUAACGCAUUAAGCACUCCGCCUGGGGAGUACGACCGCAAGGUUGAAACUCAAAGGAAUUGACGGGGGCCCGCACAAGCGGUGGAGCAUGUGGUUUAAUUCGAAGCAACGCGAAGAACCUUACCAGGUCUUGACAUCCCGAUGCUAUUUCUAGAGAUAGAAAGUUACUUCGGUACAUCGGUGACAGGUGGUGCAUGGUUGUCGUCAGCUCGUGUCGUGAGAUGUUGGGUUAAGUCCCGCAACGAGCGCAACCCCUAUUGUUAGUUGCCAUCAUUCAGUUGGGCACUCUAGCGAGACUGCCGGUAAUAAACCGGAGGAAGGUGGGGAUGACGUCAAAUCAUCAUGCCCCUUAUGGCCUGGGCUACACACGUGCUACAAUGGUUGGUACAACGAGUUGCGAGUCGGUGACGGCAAGCUAAUCUCUUAAAGCCAAUCUCAGUUCGGAUUGUAGGCUGCAACUCGCCUACAUGAAGUCGGAAUCGCUAGUAAUCGCGGAUCAGCACGCCGCGGUGAAUACGUUCCCGGACCU